AUUGAACGCUGGCGGCAUGCUUUACACAUGCAAGUCGAACGGUAACAGGGUGCUUGCACCGCUGACGAGUGGCGAACGGGUGAGUAAUGCGUCGGAACGUGCCGAGUAGUGGGGGAUAACGCAGCGAAAGUUGUGCUAAUACCGCAUACGUACUGGGGUAGAAAGUGGGGGACCUUCGGGCCUCACGUUAUUCGAGCGACCGACGUCUGAUUAGCUAGUAGGUGAGGUAAAGGCUCACCUAGGCGACGAUCAGUAGCGGGUCUGAGAGGAUGAUCCGCCACACUGGGACUGAGACACGGCCCAGACUCCUACGGGAGGCAGCAGUGGGGAAUUUUGGACAAUGGGCGAAAGCCUGAUCCAGCCAUGCCGCGUGUCUGAAGAAGGCCUUCGGGUUGUAAAGGACUUUUGUCGGGGAGGAAAUCCCUAGUGCUAAUAACACUGGGGGAUGACAGUACCUGAAGAAUAAGCACCGGCUAACUACGUGCCAGCAGCCGCAGUAA
RNAcentral lists this ribosomal RNA (500 nucleotides) under uncultured bacterium. RNAcentral's name for it is "partial 16S ribosomal RNA". It matches the Rfam family "Bacterial small subunit ribosomal RNA", at positions 30 to 523 of the family's 1533-position model. The record is from RNAcentral.